UGGGCGAACGGGUGAGUAACACGUGGGCAAUCUGCCCUUCACUCUGGGACAAGCCCUGGAAACGGGGUCUAAUACCGGAUAAUACUUUCCCUCUCAUGGGGGAAGGUUAAAAGCUCCGGCGGUGAAGGAUGAGCCCGCGGCCUAUCAGCUAGUUGGUGGGGUAAUGGCCUACCAAGGCGACGACGGGUAGCCGGCCUGAGAGGGCGACCGGCCACACUGGGACUGAGACACGGCCCAGACUCCUACGGGAGGCAGCAGUGGGGAAUAUUGCACAAUGGGCGAAAGCCUGAUGCAGCGACGCCGCGUGAGGGAUGACGGCCUUCGGGUUGUAAACCUCUUUCAGCAGGGAAGAAGCGAAAGUGACGGUACCUGCAGAAGAAGCGCCGGCUAACUACGUGCCAGCAGCCGCGGUAAUACGUAGGGCGCAAGCGUUGUCCGGAAUUAUUGGGCGUAAAGAGCUCGUAGGCGGCUUGUUGCGUCGGUUGUGAAAGCCCGGGGCUUAACCCCGGGUCUGCAGUCGAUACGGGCAGGCUAGAGUGUGGUAGGGGAGAUCGGAAUUCCUGGUGUAGCGGUGAAAUGCGCAGAUAUCAGGAGGAACACCGGUGGCGAAAGCGGAUCUCUGGGCCAUUACUGACGCUGAGGAGCGAAAGCGUGGGGAGCGAACAGGAUUAGAUACCCUGGUAGUCCACGCCGUAACGUUUGGGAACUAGUGUUGGCGACAUUCCACGUCGUCGUGCCGCAGCUAACGCAUUAAGUUCCCCGCCUGGGGAGUACGGCCGCAA
Molecule: ribosomal RNA, 782 nt
Filed under: Streptomyces sp.
Lineage: Bacteria; Bacillati; Actinomycetota; Actinomycetes; Kitasatosporales; Streptomycetaceae
Description: bacterial SSU rRNA
Rfam family: Bacterial small subunit ribosomal RNA
Source: RNAcentral